GAGUUUGAUCCUGGCUCAGGAUGAACGCUGGCGGCGUGCCUAACACAUGCAAGUCGAGCGAAGCGCGCCCCGGAAUCCUUCGGGAGGAAGGGUCGCGACUGAGCGGCGGACGGGUGAGUAACGCGUGGGCAACCUGCCCCAUACAGGGGGACAACGGCCGGAAACGGCCGCUAAUACCGCAUGAUUCCUCUUGGCCGCAUGGCCGGGAGGGGAAAGCCGAGACGGUAUGGGAUGGACCCGCGUCUGAUUAGCUGGUUGGCGAGGUAACGGCUCACCAAGGCGACGAUCAGUAGCCGGCCUGAGAGGGCGACCGGCCACAUUGGGACUGAGACACGGCCCAAACUCCUACGGGAGGCAGCAGUGGGGAAUAUUGCACAAUGGGGGAAACCCUGAUGCAGCGACGCCGCGUGAAGGACGAAGUAUUUCGGUACGUAAACUUCUAUCAGCAGGGAAGAAAAUGACGGUACCUGACCAAGAAGCCCCGGCUAACUACGUGCCAGCAGCCGCGGUAAUACGUAGGGGGCGAGCGUUAUCCGGAUUUACUGGGUGUAAAGGGGGCGCAGACGGCCAUGGCAAGCCCGGUGUGAAAGGUGCGGGCACAACCCGCAGACUGCACUGGUAACUGCCUGGCUGGAGUGCCGGAGGGGUAAGCGGAA
RNAcentral lists this ribosomal RNA (656 nucleotides) under uncultured bacterium. Its description in RNAcentral is "bacterial SSU rRNA". It matches the Rfam family "Bacterial small subunit ribosomal RNA", at positions 9 to 666 of the family's 1533-position model. The record is from RNAcentral.